GGGCAGGUGGCAGAGCGGUCAAUUGCACCAGACUGUAAAUCUGGCGGACAUCGUCCUACGUGGGUUCAAAUCCCUCCCUGCCCACAA
RNAcentral lists this transfer RNA (87 nucleotides) under Candidatus Terrybacteria bacterium CG10_big_fil_rev_8_21_14_0_10_41_10. RNAcentral describes it as "tRNA-Tyr". It matches the Rfam family "tRNA". From Rfam's summary of the family: Transfer RNA (tRNA) molecules are approximately 80 nucleotides in length. Their secondary structure includes four short double-helical elements and three loops (D, anti-codon, and T loops). The record is from RNAcentral. Lineage: Bacteria; Candidatus Terryibacteriota.